RNAcentral lists this ribosomal RNA (253 nucleotides) under uncultured bacterium. RNAcentral describes it as "partial 16S ribosomal RNA". It matches the Rfam family "Bacterial small subunit ribosomal RNA", at positions 524 to 776 of the family's 1533-position model. The record is from RNAcentral.
UACAGAGAGUGCAAGCGUUAAUCGGAAUUACUGGGCGUAAAGCGCACGUAGGUGGAUAUUUAAGUCGAAUGUGAAAGCCCUGGGCUUAACCUAGGAAUUGCAUCCGAUACUGAAUAUCUAGAGUAUGGUAGAGGGAAGUGGAAUUUCCGGUGUAGCGGUGAAAUGCGUAGAUAUCGGAAGGAACACCCGUGGCGAAAGCGGCUUCCUGGACCAAUACUGACGCUCAGGUGCGAAAGCGUGGGGAGCAAACAGG